AUAUAUCUAUUGUAAUGAAGCAAAUUUAUUUUCCAAAUAAAAAGUUGGUUAAACCAGUUAUAU
This 63-nucleotide transfer RNA is filed under the name Taeniothrips tigris. RNAcentral describes it as "tRNA-Gly". The record is from RNAcentral. Lineage: Eukaryota; Metazoa; Arthropoda; Insecta; Thysanoptera; Thripidae.